Mustela putorius furo (domestic ferret) is the source of this 2283-nucleotide long non-coding RNA. The record is from Ensembl. NCBI's taxonomy places the organism in Eukaryota, Metazoa, Chordata, Mammalia, Carnivora, Mustelidae.
GAAAUGUCUCGUCCUCUAAGAUGAAUCUAAAAGUUGCUUCUAGAAAAUGCAUUGAAGAUUGCAGCCUUGGUCAAACAGCUGUGAGCAAGCAAGGACGCAUCACUCCCUCGAGGCAGAAGGAUGGAGAGUUCUAAGAAGCGAGUAUACAGGAAGAAGUCAGGGAUUAAAGAAGUAUACACACAGGGAAAGCUAAUGCACAAAAUAUAUGAGUGAGUCUGACGUAUGAAGGCAGGUCUGCAGGAUCCAGUCUCCUUUUUAACUGAACUUGCCAGCCGGAUGUGGACCUCUGUCUAAGGAGCUGGGUUCACAGAGGAGGGGCAGUGGACAUUGUGGUACCUAUGGAGUUUUAUAUUUGUGGCUGUUGGACCCCGACUGCCCAAAUCCUGUGAGAGGUCAUGGAGACCGGAAGUGGCAUGUUCAGUGGGCAGCUCCUAUGCUUGAUGUCGGAGGAGUUCUAUUUGGUCAUUCUCCAAACUGCUUGAUUGGUUUUUGUAACUUCUGUCCCCUGAAGUGCUUGUUAACUCUAUCCCAACGUAAGAAAGACGGAUUGCCAAAGAUCAUUGACAACAAUUGGGGUAUGAACCAGCCAUCCCCAGCAUGGCCAAAGUCAAGGCUCUGCCUUUCUCUUCUCCUUGGAAUGGUGCCAGCCCCGUGCUCCUCACCUCUGUUGGAGACAUAAGAAAAAGAAGCUUUGAGCCUUUUGCUUCAUGCUACCAUAGCUAUCACUUCUGAGUGCUGACUCUGAGCCAGGGAAGAUCAUUCGCAUGUAUUACUCACAUGAUCCUUGAAACAAAACUGUUGUUCCUCUCCUGUAGGCAAAGACACUGAGGCUCAAAGAAUUUAGGGAGCAUGCCAUUCUCCUAGCACUAGUAAGUAGAGAGCCUGGUUCCCAAUCUUUACUGGCCUCACCUCACAGCCCGUGUUCUUAAGGUAAUUCUAAUUACGGGGGCAGAAGAAGAAACUAUUGCCUUCGGAGAAAGAAAGUCAGAAGAGCUGAGUCCAACUCAUGGUGGCCCAGUGAACUCACUCACUCUUCCACUCUGUCACCUUCUGGAAACAAAGCCCCUUAAGGAAUUUCUUCUCCCAAUACCCCCUUCAUCACAGCCCCAUUUUUGCAAACAUUUAUUGCUUCUUAAGGGUCAGGCUGACAUUUUGUGUCUGAAUGAAUCUAUGGGGUAGAUACCGUUAUUAUCCCCACGUGAAGGAUGACAAAACGGAGGUGCAGAAAGGUGGUGGAAUUUGUCCAAAGUAACGUGGCUACUGAGUGACAGAGACACAUCUGAACCCACACAGUCUGAUUUCAGAGCCUUUCCCACUACAUUUGGUGCACAGUAAAAGGUUCGAAAGGCUACACUCAAAUGAUUAGCAGCUCUCUCUCAGGAGUUGGCUUUAGGCGGGAAAUACGGAGAGAAUGACUUUGACUUAUUUUGUCUACACGUGAAUCCUUUUGAAGAUUUUACAGUGCCUAUAUAUGGAUAGUUCUUAUAAUUAAAAAUAUAUCUUCAGAGAUUUAAAUAUUCUGGCUCUCCAUACAGUUGCGGCAUUAAGUACAAACUAAUUAUUUGUCAUAAGGAGACUGGCAUUUUCUGGAAGAUUCCAGAAAUCCAGAAAAGAUGCCAAGACUGGCGGGGUCAUUAUGAAGCUGGAGCCUACAUCCGUGGGGUCAUGCAUUCUCCUCUCCCUCCCUUUUUGCCAGCACAAGGCCAGCAGACAGAGAUCUCCAUGAUUGUAGCAUGUGAAUUUAUAUCCACCCUGAAUCUGAGGGCAAACAGAAAUGUAAAUUUUGGCAGCUGCCUUUGUGGGCACUGACCUCACAGGACUCAUUCAGUCCCAGACUUCACCCUGGGAGUGAUUUCCCCACAUCCGCUAUAAUUUAUUGACAAGACUUGUUUCUCUUCCUGACGCUGAAGGAAUUGCCCAGCACAAUUUUAAACAAAGCACCAUGCGGAUCAGUGCAAUGAACUGAAUCACCAUUUCCUCGCAGUACCAGCCCUGCCCCGGGUAAUGUUUUUCUCUCCAUCGUCUCUCAUUUUUGUGAAGAUGCUGGCAACGCAAGUCAUCUCCAGACAUUUCCCAUUGUCUCUCUGUCAGCCCCGAACAAAGGCAAGGCCCCCGGUCUCCCCAGCCUGACCCAGGCAGCUGGUUUGAGAUCUCACAGCAUUUUACCGCGAUGCCUUGUUGCAAACAAUCUUUUCAAGGUAUUCAUGUCCAGUGUGACCUGAUGUUAAUUCAGAAAUAUGUGGGUUUCAAUUUUCCCUGCUGUCCCAAGUGUCAUAAAAUUAC